GUGCCAGCAGCCGCGGUAAUACGUAGGGUGCAAGCGUUAAUCGGAAUUACUGGGCGUAAAGCGUGCGCAGGCGGUUUUGUAAGUCUGAUGUGAAAUCCCCGGGCUCAACCUGGGAAUUGCAUUGGAGACUGCAAGGCUAGAAUCUGGCAGAGGGGGGUAGAAUUCCACGUGUAGCAGUGAAAUGCGUAGAGAUGUGGAGGAACACCGAUGGCGAAGGCAGCCCCCUGGGUCAAGAUUGACGCUCAUGCACGAAAGCGUGGGGAGCAAACAGGAUUAGAAACCCGAGUAGUCC
This 292-nucleotide ribosomal RNA is filed under the name uncultured bacterium. RNAcentral describes it as "partial 16S ribosomal RNA". It matches the Rfam family "Bacterial small subunit ribosomal RNA", at positions 505 to 796 of the family's 1533-position model. The record is from RNAcentral.